RNAcentral lists this transfer RNA (73 nucleotides) under bacterium. RNAcentral's name for it is "tRNA-Asn". It matches the Rfam family "tRNA". From Rfam's summary of the family: Transfer RNA (tRNA) molecules are approximately 80 nucleotides in length. Their secondary structure includes four short double-helical elements and three loops (D, anti-codon, and T loops). The record is from RNAcentral. RNAcentral also lists the same sequence under 1 other name.
UCCGAGGUAGCUCAGUUGGUAGAGCAAAUGGCUGUUAACCAUUGGGUCGUGGGUUCGAGUCCCUCCCUCGGAG